Molecule: transfer RNA, 86 nt
Filed under: Panus rudis PR-1116 ss-1
Lineage: Eukaryota; Fungi; Basidiomycota; Agaricomycetes; Polyporales; Panaceae
Description: tRNA-His
Rfam family: tRNA
About the family: Transfer RNA (tRNA) molecules are approximately 80 nucleotides in length. Their secondary structure includes four short double-helical elements and three loops (D, anti-codon, and T loops).
Source: RNAcentral
GUCCUUGUCGAUUAGUGGUUAGAUCAUCACGUUGUGGUUGGCUCCGCAAAUCCGUGAAGACGAAGGCUCGAAUCCUUCCUGGGACA